Molecule: unclassified non-coding RNA, 140 nt
Filed under: uncultured fungus
Lineage: Eukaryota; Fungi
Description: sequence contains ITS1
Source: RNAcentral
UUGUUUUGUUAAAGUUAUGACGUUCAUUACACCAUGUUUGUAAAAUUAGCCCCGAGGGGCACGGUUCACAGAGGUUUGGAAUAGUUUAAGCCCAUGAAGGGCGUUCACUAAUGAUCCUUCCGCAGGUUCACCUACGGAAA